This 1219-nucleotide long non-coding RNA is filed under the name Homo sapiens (human). Lineage: Eukaryota; Metazoa; Chordata; Mammalia; Primates; Hominidae. The record is from RNAcentral.
GGCAACGGCAGUGCAGGAGGUGAGGGGCAUCCAUGUUAAGUGCUGGGGUCAGGGAUGCCCUCUCUGAGAAGAUGGCUUUCAGCUAAGAUUGGAAGAAGGUAAAGGAAAAAGGCGUAGACAUACUGGUAGGGGUGGAGGGGGGUUCGAGGGGAAGAGCAUCUGGGGCAGAGAAAACAGCCAGGACCAAGUUUUGGAGACUGGAGUACGCCUGUUAUGUUCAAGCAAUAGCAACAAGGCAGUAUGCAAGAGGCAGGGGCAAAGGGAGCAAGUGGGAGAGUGGGGGAUGAGGUUAGUGAGGUAAUGAGGGCUGCCACAUCGUCCUGAGGAUGGUGGCUUUCUCUUGGUGAGAUGGAGAGCCACUGGAGAGAUUUCAGCAGAAGAGUAAAUUGUUCCCAUUUAUGAUUUGAAGGGCGCAUCCUGGCAUUAAGAGAAGAUUACAGGCAGGCGCAAUGGUUCACACCUGUAAUCCUAGCACUUUGGGAGGCCGAGGUGGGUGGAUCACUUGAGGUCAGGAGUUCGACACCAGCCUGGCCAACAUGGCGAAAACCUGUCUCUACUAAAAAUACAAAAAUUAGCUGGGCAUGGUGGUGCGUGCCUGUAGUCCCAGAUACUCUGGAGGCUGAAGCAUGAGAAUCGCUUGAACCUGAGAGGCAGAGGUUGCAAUGACCGAGAUGGCGGCACUGCACUCUAGCCUGGGCAACAGAGGGAUACUCUGUCUCAAAAACAAAGAAAGAAAAAGAAAAGAAAAGACUACAGCCUUGCAUCACUUAAUGAUCGGGUACUAUUCUGAGAAAUGCAUCAUUAGGUGAUUUCAUCAUUGUGUGACCACCAUAGAGUGAACUUAGACAAACUUAGAUGGUGUGACCUACUACACACCUAGACUAUAUGAUAUGGCCUAUUGCUCCUAGGCUACAAACCUGUACAGCAUGUUAUUGGACUGAAUACUGUAGGCAAUUGUAAGACAAUGGUGUUUGUGUAUUUAAACACAGAAAAGGUACAGUAAAAAUACAGUAUUAUAAUCUUACGGGACCACUGUAUUGUAUGUGGCCUGUCAUUGAUUGAAACAUUGUUUUGCAGCACAUGGCUGUAUAGUGAAAGUAAAAUUGGAAGUAGGAUGUGCUGGCUCUGCCAGUGCAUACACUAAAAUUGGAGCUAUAUAGAGAAAAUUAGCACGAUCCUGUGCAAGAAUGACAUGCAAAUUCCUGAAGCAUUUGAUAUU